This 253-nucleotide ribosomal RNA is filed under the name uncultured bacterium. RNAcentral's name for it is "partial 16S ribosomal RNA". It matches the Rfam family "Bacterial small subunit ribosomal RNA", at positions 524 to 776 of the family's 1533-position model. The record is from RNAcentral.
UACGAAGGGAGCUAGCGUUACUCGGAAUUAUUGGGCGUAAAGCGUGCGUAGGCGGCUUUAUAAGUCAGAAGUGAAAGCCUGGGGCUCAACCUCAGAAUUGCUUUUGAUACUGUAGAGCUAGAGUAUCAUAGGGGAUAGCGGAAUUCCUAGUGUAGAGGUGAAAUUCGUAGAUAUUAGGAGGAACACCGGCGGCGAAGGCGGCUAUCUGGGUGAAUACUGACGCUGUUGCACGAAAGCGUGGGGAGCAAACAGG